RNAcentral lists this ribosomal RNA (463 nucleotides) under uncultured bacterium. Its description in RNAcentral is "partial 16S ribosomal RNA". It matches the Rfam family "Bacterial small subunit ribosomal RNA", at positions 339 to 795 of the family's 1533-position model. The record is from RNAcentral.
CUACGGGUGGCAGCAGUGGGGAAUAUUGGACAAUGGGCGCAAGCCUGAUCCAGCCACGCCGCGUGAGUGAUGAAGGCCUUCGGGUCGUAAAGCUCUGUGGAGAGGGACGAAAGUCUGUCGGUUAAUACCCGGCAGUUUGACGGUACCUCUUUAGCAAGCACCGGCUAACUCCGUGCCAGCAGCCGCGGUAAUACGGAGGGUGCAAACGUUGCUCGGAAUCAUUGGGCGUAAAGCGCACGUAGGCGGCUUGGUAAGUCGGAUGUGAAAGCCCUCGGCUCAACCGAGGAAGUGCAUUCGAAACUGCCCAGCUUGAGUACGGGAGAGGAUCGCGGAAUUCCCGGUGUAGAGGUGAAAUUCGUAGAUAUCGGGAGGAACACCAGUGGCGAAGGCGGCGGUCUGGACCGAUACUGACGCUGAGGUGCGAAAGCGUGGGGAGCAAACAGGAUUAGAUACCCGGGUAGUC